RNAcentral lists this small RNA (39 nucleotides) under Arabidopsis thaliana (thale cress). RNAcentral's name for it is "ATSL203800". Lineage: Eukaryota; Viridiplantae; Streptophyta; Magnoliopsida; Brassicales; Brassicaceae. The record is from RNAcentral.
AAAUUAAUAAUGUAUUUCGUUUUUCUAAUUAAAUUAAAU